UACGAAGGGGGCUAGCGUUGCUCGGAAUCACUGGGCGUAAAGCGCACGUAGGCGGAUUGCUAAGUCAGGGGUGAAAUCCUGGAGCUCAACUCCAGAACUGCCUUUGAUACUGGCGACCUUGAGUCCGGGAGAGGUGAGUGGAACUGCGAGUGUAGAGGUGAAAUUCGUAGAUAUUCGCAAGAACACCAGUGGCGAAGGCGGCUCACUGGCCCGGUACUGACGCUGAGGUGCGAAAGCGUCGGGAGCA
Molecule: ribosomal RNA, 247 nt
Filed under: uncultured bacterium
Lineage: Bacteria
Description: partial 16S ribosomal RNA
Rfam family: Bacterial small subunit ribosomal RNA
Source: RNAcentral